RNAcentral lists this ribosomal RNA (468 nucleotides) under uncultured bacterium. Its description in RNAcentral is "partial 16S ribosomal RNA". The stretch from base 58 to 468 matches the Rfam family "Bacterial small subunit ribosomal RNA", at positions 39 to 507 of the family's 1533-position model. The record is from RNAcentral.
GGGGGGGGGGGGCGGGGGGCGGGGGGGAGGGGGGUCGGGGGGGGGGGGGGUGGGGGGGUGGGGUGCUCGGGGGGCGAGCGGGGGAGUAACACGUGAGUAACCUGCCCUUGACUUUGGGAUAACUUCAGGAAACUGGGGCUACUACCGGAUAGGAGCUCCUGCUGCAUGGUGGGGGUUGGAAAGGUUCGGCGGUUGGGGAUGGACUCGCGGCUUAUCAGCUUGUUGGUGGGGUAGUGGCUUACCAAGGCUUUGACGGGUAGCCGGCCUGAGAGGGUGACCGGCCACAUUGGGACUGAGAUACGGCCCAGACUCCUACGGGAGGCAGCAGUGGGGAAUAUUGCACAAUGGGCGGAAGCCUGAUGCAGCAACGCCGCGUGCGGGAUGACGGCCUUCGGGUUGUAAACCGCUUUCGCCUGUGACGAAGCGUGAGUGACGGUAAUGGGUAAAGAAGCACCGGCUAACUACGUG